UGGGGGAUAUUGCACAAUGGAGGGAACUCUGAUGCAGCGAUGCCGCGUGGAGGAAGAAGGUUUUCGGAUUGUAAACUCCUGUCUUUGGGGACGAUAAUGACGGUACCCAAGGAGGAAGCUCCGGCUAACUACGUGCCAGCAGCCGCGGUAAUACGUAGGGAGCGAGCGUUGUCCGGAAUUACUGGGUGUAAAGGGAGUGUAGGCGGGACGGCAAGUCAGAUGUGAAAUUUAUGGGCUCAACCCAUAACGUGCAUUUGAAACUGCUGUUCUUGAGUGAAGUAGAGGUAAGCGGAAUUCCUAGUGUAGCGGUGAAAUGCGUAGAUAUUAGGAGGAACAUCAGUGGCGAAGGCGGCUUACUGGGCUUUUACUGACGCUGAGGCUCGAAAGCGUGGGGAGCAAA
This 400-nucleotide ribosomal RNA is filed under the name uncultured bacterium. RNAcentral describes it as "bacterial SSU rRNA". It matches the Rfam family "Bacterial small subunit ribosomal RNA", at positions 355 to 772 of the family's 1533-position model. The record is from RNAcentral.